This 368-nucleotide long non-coding RNA is filed under the name Androctonus crassicauda. The record is from RNAcentral. Lineage: Eukaryota; Metazoa; Arthropoda; Arachnida; Scorpiones; Buthidae.
GGCGCAGCAAACGAAGGAGUAAUGUGCACGUGUUUUUUGUUGUAAUAACAAUCAUAUGCGAUAUUUAUCAGAUGAAUAUAAAUCUAGCAAAAGAUAUGAGUUGCUAUCUGUUAAAUUCUGGAAAAUGGAGUGUCUUUUAUUGUUUCAAUAGGCAGUCCAUUCGACUUCCAGUAAAGCAAAUUGGUGCUUUGAGUCUGUUUAGAUGGGAAAAUCGACCAGGAAAAUAUCAUCAUUACGAUGGAAAGGGACCAUUAUUUCAUCGAACUAGGAUAGCACCAAACAAUGUAAAGAUGUGUUCAUAUUUAUUUCAAUAUCAUCAUUACGAUGGAAAGGGACCAUUAUUUCAUCGAACUAGGAUAGCACCAAAC